Columba livia (rock pigeon) is the source of this 976-nucleotide long non-coding RNA. RefSeq lists it as uncharacterized. NCBI's taxonomy places the organism in Eukaryota, Metazoa, Chordata, Aves, Columbiformes, Columbidae. The record is from RefSeq and is a predicted model, not a curated record. The transcript has 3 exons.
CCGUUACCACGGUGACGGGAGUCACACCCCUCCCUCUUGCUUUGAAAAAGCCUCCGGGAGCCCACCAGGCGCUGGGAGGUGAACGUGCUUGUGAGGCAGACCUCAAAGACACCUUGUUGUGUUCAAAACUGCUGCAAUCACAAAAAAGGAUUCAUGCUACAAAGAGGUCUAGUUUGGUUGCAACAGGGAGGAGGCAUCUUGUUCAAUGGAAAAUUAAGUCUGCAAAGAACACCUGUGUAGUCAGCUCUUGUCCUCUUCCACCAGAGAAUAAUCAUAUAUUCAAACGGAAACAGCAUUUAUAUGACCAAGUGUUCAAUGCACACAGACUGUCUCAGAGGUCUGUUUGUUUUCUGCUUUCCAAACAGCAGUACUUUAUCAGAUAGUUUUGAUGUGCUUUGGGGCCAGAAUGAUUUUGCUCAAUUUAGAUGAUUUUAAUUCUGAAAUACAAAUAACCAGAAAUAUAUAACAGUGGCACCUGGUGUCUCUGAAGUUGAAUUUGUUUAUGAAUGGUAGGGUGGUGUCUGUUAGCUUUGGAUGUAUGGUGUAAAGUCUAUGACACAAAGUAUAUAUAUGUCUACUUAUACAUACUAUGAACAUCCAUUAAAACGAUUCAGAAGUAGUUCCCUUCCAGGUCUCAUGCUUUUCCUCUAUUGUGCAUCUCUCUACUUUGAUGCAGCAUUAGGAAACAAGCUAGCAAUUUAGUAGUAAGAAUAUAAGGAAUAAGAAUCAUAUGUAUUCAAAUGCCACUUGACCAGUGUUUAAAACUAAUCACAAAUGAAAAUCAAUAGCCGUAUUUCAGUGUCUAACCUACAGUCCUGAUGAAAGAAAACUAAAUGUAUUUAACUAUGUAUCAAAGCUUAAAUACUUUUUUUUUCCCUGUAAAAGUGAGAAUGUAAAGUUUAUGGCUUUGCAUACUUCUGCAUUUCAAAGAACCUUUGAAAAAAAUGCUACAACACUCACAUUCAUUCUCUUUGGA